Molecule: non-coding RNA, 45 nt
Filed under: Schistosoma curassoni
Lineage: Eukaryota; Metazoa; Platyhelminthes; Trematoda; Strigeidida; Schistosomatidae
Source: RNAcentral
AUCCGGCUGACGAGUCCCGAAUAGGACGGAAUGUGCCUCCUAGAU